Cyprinus carpio (common carp) is the source of this 379-nucleotide long non-coding RNA. The record is from Ensembl. NCBI's taxonomy places the organism in Eukaryota, Metazoa, Chordata, Actinopteri, Cypriniformes, Cyprinidae.
AGCCAGCAGGCUUAUGGAAAGAUGACUUUAAGUUCCCAGAACGAAUAUAUCCCUGCAGUUAUUAAGGGACAUCGACACUUUGGCUUUGGAGGAUCAGUAUUACCUGAGUCUGUAAUCGUUCAGCAAUAUUAUGACCUCACCCAAACCAAGAGGAGUAAUAUCCGACUGAAUGACCAACUUAAGAAGAUGAUUAAAGUCGAUAUUCCAAGAGAGCAUCCCUACAGCUCCCAUAUCUCCCGGUAUCCCGCAAUAUUUCCAUCAUACCGAUCCCCAGUACAGCCCUCCAGUGCUUCUGCUCCUGUUCUCGUGUGGCGGCAUCAUCAAAGAACAAAAAUAUAAACAAAAUAAAUGCUGAAUAACAAAAUUAAAUAAAAAUGCU